Molecule: ribosomal RNA, 639 nt
Filed under: gut metagenome
Description: bacterial LSU rRNA
Rfam family: Bacterial large subunit ribosomal RNA
Source: RNAcentral
AAAGGGUAACGGAGGCGCGCGAAGGUCACCUUAGGGCGGUUGGGAAUCGCCCGUCAAGUGUAAAGGCACAAGGUGGCUUGACUGCGAGGCGUACAUGCCGAGCAGGUACGAAAGUAGGUCUUAGUGAUCUGGCGGUAGCGAGUGGAAGCGCCGUCACUUAACGGAUAAAAGGUACUCCGGGGAUAACAGGCUGAUCUUGCCCAAGAGUUCACAUCGACGGCAAGGUUUGGCACCUCGAUGUCGGCUCAUCGCAUCCUGGGGCUGGAGCAGGUCCCAAGGGUUUGGCUGUUCGCCAAUCAAAGCGGUACGCGAGCUGGGUUCAGAACGUCGUGAGACAGUUCGGUCCCUAUCUGCUGCAUUCGUCGGUUGCUUGAGGGGUCCUGCUUUUAGUACGAGAGGACCGAAGUGGACGCACCUCUGGUGUACCGGCUGUCGCGCCAGCGGCACUGCCGGGUAGCCACGUGCGGAAGGGAUAACCGCUGAAAGCAUCUAAGCGGGAAGCCCUCCCCAAGAUUGGGCAACCCAUGGCGCUAGACGCCACUGAAGGAGCCAGGAAGACUACCUGGUCGAUAGGGCGGCGGUGCAAGCACGGCAACGUGUUCAGCCGACCGCUACUAAUAUGCCGUGAGGCUUGGCCAU